GGCGCAUGCACAGAUAACUGCCGCCACUGCUCACUGUCGCUCACAAUGGCCCACACACAGGCUGCGUGUGUGUGUGUGUAUCGGCUCAGGUAGAGCUUGUUGGGCUCAUGUGGAGUGAUGUGUGUAUGUUCAGUUAGGAGACGCCGUGUGCGUGCACGUGUGUUGCUGAGGACCCACGGAAGUGCAGUGUCCAGUUAAAGGGCAUGGAGUCAUAAAGGGCACGGUUGAUUGUAAUAACUAUGUUGUUGAUAUUGGCACUGUGUUUUGCUUACAUGCCAUAAUUAAUGAAAAGAUUAUUUAAGAAAAUGAA
Long non-coding RNA from Acanthopagrus latus (yellowfin seabream), 310 nucleotides. RefSeq lists it as uncharacterized. Lineage: Eukaryota; Metazoa; Chordata; Actinopteri; Spariformes; Sparidae. The transcript is spliced from 2 exons. The record is from RefSeq and is a predicted model, not a curated record.